RNAcentral lists this ribosomal RNA (164 nucleotides) under Escherichia coli. Its description in RNAcentral is "partial 16S ribosomal RNA". It matches the Rfam family "Bacterial small subunit ribosomal RNA", at positions 1 to 156 of the family's 1533-position model. The record is from RNAcentral. Lineage: Bacteria; Pseudomonadati; Pseudomonadota; Gammaproteobacteria; Enterobacterales; Enterobacteriaceae.
UUAAAUUGAAGAGUUUGAUCAUGGCUCAGAUUGAACGCUGGCGGCAGGCCUAACACAUGCAAGUCGAACGGUAACAGGAAGCAGCUUGCUGUUUUGCUGACGAGUGGCGGACGGGUGAGUAAUGUCUGGGAAACUGCCUGAUGGAGGGGGAUAACUACUGGAAA